UGACCUCGGAUCAGGUAGGGAUACCCGCUGAACUUAAGCAUAUCAAUAAGCGGAGGAAAAGAAACCAACAGGGAUUGCCUCAGUAACGGCGAGUGAAGCGGCAUAAGCUCAAAUUUGAAAUCUGGCUCUUUCAGGGUCCGAGUUGUAAUUUGUAGAAGAUGUUUCGGGUGUGGCCCCGGUCUAAGUUCCUUGGAACAGGACGUCAUAGAGGGUGAGAAUCCCGUAUGUGACUGGGUGCCUAUGCCCAUGUGAAACUCUUUCGACGAGUCGAGUUGUUUGGGAAUGCAGCUCAAAAUGGGUGGUAAAUUUCAUCUAAAGCUAAAUAUUG
This 328-nucleotide ribosomal RNA is filed under the name Leotiomycetes sp. NK272. RNAcentral describes it as "eukaryotic LSU rRNA". It matches the Rfam family "Eukaryotic large subunit ribosomal RNA", at positions 1 to 325 of the family's 3401-position model. Lineage: Eukaryota; Fungi; Ascomycota; Leotiomycetes. The record is from RNAcentral.